CGUCAAGUGAGGAGUUCAGUGGAAAUUGGUAUGGUUGUACAACAGGUAGGUUUCUGAGCCAAGAAAUAUCUUUGUUAGAGUUUGAACGUGUCUGUUGAAGAGCUCAGAGAUGUGCAGCGCCGCACGAACAACAAUGAAUGGCUCACUGAGAUGAGAAGACUCCAGUCAUCUCCAGUCCAAUCCAAAUCAAAGCUAGCUCCAGCCCCUGUAUCUGCUCCAGAAAGUUCUCCAGAGUCCACUCCAGUUUUUAUGUCUGCACCUGAAAUUGAAGUGCGUCCCAACAUGGCCGCCAAUCCAGAGUCUCGUCCCAAGAAGGCCGACUUCAGAGUCUCGUCACCCAAGCUCAGCCCAGAGUUGACUCCAGCCCCUGAGUUCUGCCUAAAGGAGUCCAACCCAGAUAUGGCUCCUGUUCCUGAACUCCGUCCUGAAUCCACUCUAUCCCCUGAGUACAUCCCAGUGUGGGGGGGUGGGGGGUAGGGGUAGGGGCGGUCUACCUGUCCACGGCCAAGGAGGCACCACCUAAACUGCUGGUUCCACCCUAGGCUCCUGCACCGACGGCUCCUCUCCGGUCUCCUGAACCGCCGGCUGCACCCCGGUCCCCUGAACUGCCUGUGCUGCCAUGGUCCCCUGAACUGCCCGUUCCGCCAUGGUCCCCCUAAUCUGCCUGGAACGCCAUGGUCCUCCGAAUGACCUACACUGCCCUGGCCCUCUGAGUUGCCGGCACCUCCCUGCACUCGAUAUAAAAAAAAUCGGGUAGAUUUGGCUAUAUAUUGGGUGUAUGAUGUGUGUGUAUAUCACAAAGUAUAUGCCUUUCUCCACUGACGUUAAGGUGUUUAAAUACUGAUUAAAAACAGCUAAUUUCAAGUAUGGGUAGAUAUACAUUUACAAAUAUUUGGUAGCACCUGACAAAAGUAAAAAAGAAAAGAAUUUAAACACUGAAAUGAUAUGUAACAACUUAAACUUGCUUAAGCACAUUGUUCAUGACUCAAAAUCAUUACAUCAGUUUUGAAAAGGUGUGGGUUGUGGGUUUUUUUUUUUUUUUUUUUUUUUUUUUU
This is a long non-coding RNA of Ctenopharyngodon idella (grass carp), 1055 nucleotides long. RefSeq lists it as uncharacterized. The record is from RefSeq and is a predicted model, not a curated record. NCBI's taxonomy places the organism in Eukaryota, Metazoa, Chordata, Actinopteri, Cypriniformes, Xenocyprididae. The transcript is spliced from 2 exons.